ACAUAGUAACCACAAGGUACUGGCAGAACCACGGCUAUUUUUAGCGGGGCAGAGAGAAAAACAAGUCAAGCGAGAGUUAAUUUUCAAAUUAACUGAAGGGUUAAAUCGAUAUAGAAGUAGUAACCAUCCUUCGUAAGAGACAUUCACGUAUAAGGACUUCUUGAUAAGUAUCUUACAGGACCUCUCCCUCCUUGCGUCCCUGGCGCCGUUAAAUGUCUGGGUAGGCGCCACCAGUGGACACCGAUUCAACAUAGCCAAGAACCCUAUGACCCUUUGCUAAGGCCUCUGGCAAAAAUAGGGAGGCUUCCCAUAUAAGGCGUGGAGGGAGGGAAUCCAACAUCCUUCUUGCUUAGUGGUAGACCUUCAACUCUGCCUAGCGAUCACAACAGAAACUGACAAGUGCGACGUACCUUCGUGGGAUUCUGUUUUGUAUUGUACAUCCAUAGGCCCUUAAGGAAGAGGAAAAUUUAGGCCUACUGAUAAUGGAGAUUGUCAAAAAGAGCAAGACACCAAUCUCGUGAUAAUAAAUGCAUGCAGAGAAAGGACACCGCGAUGGCCGACUUGGCGCUGAGAUCCGAAUCUCUCGGAUGGCAAAGGAACAUCGUUAUUAGUAUUCCUUAGAACAAAGCGCCGUUAAUUGCCAACAAGCCCAUGGACGCUGGCCGGCGACAAGCAGGGGCCGCCCACGCUCAGUUUACAGUUAACUUCACUUAGUUAUAUAAAGAUUGUAAAUGUAUGAUGGAGGUCAACAGUAUAAACAGGCCAGUACUUUAUCGUACAGUGUACCACUUUCCCUAACCAGUAAUGAAUACUGA
Penaeus monodon (black tiger shrimp) is the source of this 815-nucleotide long non-coding RNA. RefSeq lists it as uncharacterized. The record is from RefSeq and is a predicted model, not a curated record. Lineage: Eukaryota; Metazoa; Arthropoda; Malacostraca; Decapoda; Penaeidae. The transcript has 2 exons.